Molecule: transfer RNA, 78 nt
Filed under: Deltaproteobacteria bacterium
Lineage: Bacteria; Pseudomonadati; Myxococcota; Myxococcia
Description: tRNA-Pro
Rfam family: tRNA
About the family: Transfer RNA (tRNA) molecules are approximately 80 nucleotides in length.
Source: RNAcentral
CGGGGCGUGGCGCAGUCUGGUUAGCGCGCGUGCCUUGGGAGCACGAGGUCGGAGGUUCAAAUCCUCUCGCCCCGACCA